UUAUCGCCGCAGUGUCCCUUACUCCUUUUACUAAAAUGAGACUGUUGAGGAUGGAAAUCUUUCCUUUUGCCCUGAGAUUGAUAUGUUUGUUAACUUGGCAAAGUAUUAAGUAAGGCAGGGGAAACACGGCUGCUGUUUGGAAGGUUGAGUUUUUCUCAUUUGGGUGGGUCUGACUUCCACUCCCUACUUGCUGAUAGGGGAUGGUUGUUGGGGGUUUCUCUUGGUAUGUCCUUGCCUCGGCGGAGGCAUGGUUAUAAGUAUGCGCCAUCACCUCAGAGUAAGUCUUCCAAGUGUUGGUAUUGAUCAUGUACUUAAAGAAACAGUCGCGUAGGCCUGCCGUGAAGGC
Molecule: long non-coding RNA, 346 nt
Filed under: Malus domestica (apple)
Lineage: Eukaryota; Viridiplantae; Streptophyta; Magnoliopsida; Rosales; Rosaceae
Description: long non-coding RNA (MDOM_LNC002564)
Source: RNAcentral